RNAcentral lists this long non-coding RNA (1516 nucleotides) under Ananas comosus (pineapple). RNAcentral describes it as "long non-coding RNA (ACOM_LNC024766)". Lineage: Eukaryota; Viridiplantae; Streptophyta; Magnoliopsida; Poales; Bromeliaceae. The record is from RNAcentral.
GCAUUCUCCACAAGCAUGUUCAACAAUGAAUUCACGUUUUAAACAUGCAAAGAGAUGAUCGAGAUGAGAGGACUUUCCUCAAAAAAAAUUGAGGCAGAAGGUUUUUUUGAGGCAGAAGGAAAGUGCCGACAUGGUUUAGCGAUUUAGACUUAGACUAAGCACUGCACCCAUACUGUAGGUGUUCGGUGGCUGCAUUGCUCGUGGUUUUUGAGGAAGCUUAAAAAGUGGACCUUGCUCAAAUAGAUGAGAGGUGCAGCCCGCAAGUGGGCUGCUCUUCUGGGCCAAAUAAGCCCAUUGUUGGAUAUUGCUUGUGACUCGCUAAAACAUUGCGUGCUUGCAUGACUAUCGAAUAACCCAACUUACAUUUUCAACUCAUUUAUUGGUGGCAAAAAUGUUUAGAACUUUUAUUCAGUCAAUCUGAUAUAUAAUAUAUGCUCUUUCAGAACUAUCUUGUAUAAACUCGUUCUAUUUAUUUAUCUUAAAUAAUUUAAAUUGCAUUUUAAUCUGGAGUGCAAAUUGAACAUUAAUUAGAUGGUCAAAGGUGAUUUGAAAAUGGGAGCCUUAACCCAAUUUUGUGUUUGUUCCUGCCCUGAAAGUUCUUCUACCUUACUUUCCCCACAUAACAAAACAACUGAAGAUGAGACGAGAAAUUUCUGUAUAAUAUAUCUCUGAACUAUGCAAAAAUUAGUAGGCAUGAAAGCAGUCGAAGACUCCUAGGAUAUGGGUAGAGUUGUUGUUAUUCAUCAAGUUACAUAUUGCUGAAGGAAAUUUUUAAAGUUUAGAAAAAAGAUAAGGCCCCUGUUAACCAGAGCUUGGAUUUGGAUCCUAACCGAGCACAUUAUUUUCAAGCAUGGACUAUUUUGGAUGUUACGUGAUCUUUUUGAAGGAUGUAGAGACAAAUGCAUGCCUUUUCCAUUUUGAUUCUUUUUUACAGUUUUCCUUUGAAUUUCUUUUACAAGCUCUAGAUUACUCCUACCCCGCAUUGUAAGAAACUCGUCCGCUAGAUAGUUUUGUAGGGAUGCUCAGCAUUUUUGGUGCCGUAGAGAUGAACGCCAUUUAAGGCUGAAGGAAAUGGAUUUUUUUUUUUUGGUUUCAUUGCGCCUCUUUUUUUUGUAAUUACUAUAGUUGUGAUAUUACUGGUAUUAUCUAGAGGGCCUAAAUUUUGCUUUGUCAUUGUUUGACGCGCUUUAUAGGAGACCCAGUGCAGCAUUGAAGAUCUCCAGCGGAUGUUGGAUGAAAUGGCCCAGAGUUUCGCCCCAACUCAACCUCCUACCUAUUGCUUCGGCGGCAAAGGGGCUUCUACAAACCCCAAGAGACCUGCCACCUAUUGCUUUGGCGGCAGAGGGGCUUCUACAAUCCCCAAGAGACCUGCUACCUAUUGCUUCGACGGCAGAGGAGCUUCUACAAACCCGAAGAGGCACUGCGACAGAAAUGAUGCAACGACCAGGUGGUGGUCGAGUUCGCAUGUGUCUGGGGUUGAUAUGUUCGGGCACGCUUCGUUUUGCUAAGAUUUCUG